GUUAUGUUUUUAGGCGACGACAAGGCCGCUUUGCAUUCGUUCGUUAACUGGAGUUUAGAAGCGGCUCCAGGCACCCCCCAAAGGGGCACCCAAAGCCGUAAACGUGCACAGUGGUUUGCAAGGGUUGGGCGGGAGCGAUGGCCCGCUUCACGGCUUUGCGGCCGGAGCAGGGCGACACAGCACCCGCCAGAGAUACGUUAAUGAUCCUUCCGCAGGUUCACCUACGGAAA
This 230-nucleotide unclassified non-coding RNA is filed under the name uncultured fungus. RNAcentral's name for it is "sequence contains ITS1". The record is from RNAcentral. Lineage: Eukaryota; Fungi.